AUGUGAUCGUCUCUCGCAUAUCAAUAAGCGGAGGAAAAGAAACUAACAAGGAUUCCCCUAGUAACGGCGAGUGAAGCGGGGAAGAGCUCAAAUUUGAAAUCUUAAAGGGUUUCCCUUUACGAAUUGUAGUUUUAAAGAAGUGUUUUCUGUUGAGGUUUUGGUUAAAAGUUCUUUGGAAUAGGACAUCAUAGAGGGUGAGAAUCCCGUAUUUGACCUUUACUUUCAACUUUGUGAUACACUUUCAAAGAGUCGGAUUGUUUGGGAAUGCAGUCCAAAAUGGGUGGUAAAUUUCAUCUAAAGCUAAAUAUUGGCGAGAGACCGAUAGCGAACAAGUACCGUGAGGGAAAGAUGAAAAGAACUUUGAAAAGAGAGUUAAACAGUACGUGAAAUUGUCAAAAGGGAAGCGUUUGACACCAGUGUUGUUUUUUCUGAAAAUCAAUUAAAGAACUGUUUAUGCUAAGUUGUUUAGACUUUAUCAGCUAACUGUUUAGUUUUGAGCUUUUCUUUAAUGCACUUUUCAGUUAACAAGUCAACAUCAAUUUCUUUUGCUGUAAAAAAGCUUGAGGAAGGUGGCUUGAGAUUCGUCUUAAGUGUUUAUAGCCUCUUGCCUAUGCAGUCGGAGAGAUUGAGGUCUGCAGCGUAGAUCCUUCGGGGCUAAAUGCAUUUGUGCUAAGUUAUAGCAUUUUAUAGACAACUUGUUGACUAUGAUUUGUCUUGUAGCUUACUCGCUUAUGUUAUUUUACCUACGCUUAGGAUGUUGACUGAUAUGUAGUCGUA
RNAcentral lists this ribosomal RNA (777 nucleotides) under uncultured Neocallimastigales. RNAcentral describes it as "partial large subunit ribosomal RNA". It matches the Rfam family "Eukaryotic large subunit ribosomal RNA", at positions 24 to 644 of the family's 3401-position model. The record is from RNAcentral. Lineage: Eukaryota; Fungi; Neocallimastigomycota; Neocallimastigomycetes; Neocallimastigales.